GCCUGGGUGGCUCAGCAGGUUGAGCGUCUGACUUCGGCUCAGGUCAUGAUCUCACGGUUCAUGGGUUCGAGUCCCACGUCCGGCU
RNAcentral lists this transfer RNA (85 nucleotides) under Felis catus (domestic cat). It matches the Rfam family "tRNA". Rfam says of the family: Transfer RNA (tRNA) molecules are approximately 80 nucleotides in length. RNAcentral also lists the same sequence under 2 other names. The record is from Rfam by way of RNAcentral. Lineage: Eukaryota; Metazoa; Chordata; Mammalia; Carnivora; Felidae.